AAAAAGAAUCAUCACACAAUAUAGUCUCCCAUCCUUUAGAGAAACAUAAGGAAACUUUAUUCGGUAAUACCAUGUCAGAUGAAUUUUCCCAAUCAUCCGCUCUGACGAUAAGCAUUAUGAUCUAGCUCUCAAACUAGAAGUUUCUCCUCAGCUGUCCAGACAUUAGGCAAGGCACAAGAGAUAUAUGUUGUUUAGACGGGACAGAAAGAAGAAACCAUUGGACGAAGAGAAAAUUAUCAGCAAAGAUGCCACACCCUCCACCAAGAAAGAUCUAGGAAAGCACAAAUGCUUCAUCUGCCGUGACAAAGGACACUUUUCAAAAGAAUGUACCAAGUCCAGAAAGAUGAAGAGGGAAGCACAAGCUUCAGAGAAUAUCAUGGCUUGUCCUAAAGAUCUUGACGAUCCCUAUCCAACAGUAGAAGAAAUUACUAGGUCUACUUUCAAUGUAGAGAAAGGAAUAUCCGAGGACAUCUUCAUUAUUGACCAAUCACCAUGUUUCUUUAGAAGACAGUCAUCUGGUCCUAACAAUAACUUUUGUGCUAGUGAUUGUGUCAAGAACGAUGGAGAUGCUUUCUAGCAAUCAAUCUAAUUGCCCAAGAAGGACUGUCCAUCUAUGUUAGAGAAACACUCUAGCAAGCCAGUGUCUCUCAAAAGGUCUUCGAGCAAAAAAGAAUAACUAGUGAUCCAAUCCCAGAAAGGAGGCUUGAACCAACAACAGAGGCAGAGGAAACCAUUGUUUCAACUCCAUCCCUGCCUCAGGACUUCAGAAUAUUCAGGAUGAAGAAGAAUCUGGCUGACGGAGAACAAUGCAUGACACUGUCAGAUUGCACUUCCAAAUUCUCCAAAAUCCUCAAAUACAGGUGGAAUACACUUAGUAUUGUGGAUAAAACCAAUUAUCUCACAUUCCAAGACUUUGCCGCCAAUAACAGAAUCUUGCUAGAAGCCUUCUGCAAAGACACGAGCUACACAAAGAAGGCUAUUUUCUAGGCCAUGAAGAGUCAAUGCGAGAAGAGAUCUGUACUAAAGCAGAUUAUUGAUAAACACCUAGUUUUUGAUUCUCAUUACAGAAGGAACAAUCUUGUUAUGAAGUUCAACUGUCCCUGUUCAAGAUGUCAGGAGGGAUCCCAGUGAAAGCUGUUGUUCAGGAGAUUCAAACAACCUAGGCCUCCAGAUGACAAUCCUAGGGUACCCAGGAAAAUAAGGCAUUUCAAACGAAGGAGCCCAGCAGAUUUUAGGAAGAGGAAUGAUAGUUGCUUUAUCUAUAGAAAGCCUGGUUACUUUGCAAAAUAUUUUCCUAAAUCCAAGAAGUCAAAAGAUGUUGUCCACCUCUUUGAAAAAAUAGGUGAUCAUGUUGGAAUCUAUCCCAACAAAUAGGUCGACCUUAAAUCGGUAUUGUCACUGGAAGAAGAGCUGAUGCAGGACAUCAUCUUUUCCAUAGAUAUCUACAAAAAAUGAGGAGAAAUCUAUGUUACUAAGGACAACUAGAAAUUGUCAAGUCAGUUUCUUAUGUUCAACACACCAGGAAUGUUAUCAUCUGAAUUAGAAGAUCAUUCUUUAGAUCUAUUCAACAAAUAUAUAGAUCCUUCAGAUCCAUCUAUCAUCUGAGAAAUUUAGACUUUCAACAAGCUUCAAGUAUUCGAAAGGCGUAACAAAUAUAUCCUGAAGCUGUUAGGUGAACAUCCAAAAUAUCUUUGUUGUUAUGUGUUCAUUAUACUAGAAAAUGACUUCCAGCAAGAACUCCAAAAGCUAUUCUGCUAUAUUUUCCAUCACUAUUUUAUCAUCAUGGAGUUGAAGUUUUAUGCCUUCAGGCAUUAUGAUUGAAUCCAACCAACUCCAAUAAGAUUCAUGUUAUACUGGAUUCAACGCUUCAAAGAUUUCUGUGAUGCAACAGCCUUCAGGUUGUAUCACCUGGUACGAAUCACAGACCAUGAAGUCCAAUCCCAGUCGGAGAUUUCAUCACUCUAGGUAUUUCCCGAUCUAAUGCUCCCUCUUAAAAAUAAAUGUUGUGAAGAACAAUACUUCACUCUACAGAAAAGAAGAUGCAUUCUAAAGAAAAGGAACUACACCAAUGAUCAUCCUCAUAGGGUUGAAGUUCGGCAAAAAAACAAAAGAAUAUCAGCCACCGUAUAAGAUUAAAAAUGAUGAAGCCACAAGUAUACGAUUGAUGGUUCCUCUGCAAGAAUGCAAAGAUUCAUCCAAGAGAAAGAGUUACUUCACCAGAUCGAUGAAGAAAAGCUUGGAAGGCCAAGAACGCCUCAUGCAUAAGCACGAGGUAGAUUGGUGGAUAGAAGAAGCAUAAGCGAGAUCAUCGCCACCGGCAAUAUCCCAUAAUGCUACCUGAAAGAUGACGUAAGAUGAAAUGUGAAAUAAGUUACCUUAUCCACUGGGUUACCCUUUCCGGUAGGUUAUCCUCUCCAGUGGGUUACCCUUCCCAGUGGGUUACCCUCCUGUCCAAGGAAACCCUGUCUGAUGGGUUACCCUCAUAAGUAGGUUAUCCUUUCCAGUGGGUUACCCUCCUCUCCAAGCAAACCCUUCUCAGUUGGUUACCCUUUUAGAUAGGUUUCGAAGCACCUAACUCAGCUACUUUGAAGAUAAGGAGCUUAUCCACCUUCUUGCAAGAUGCCUGUAAAGUUGCUGAUGCACCUGCUUUGAUGGAUAUCAGGUAGAGAUCAGUAGCAUCGAUAUCUCCUAAUUCUUCAUAAGCCUCUACAGAGAAGAGGGUGUCCUCUGUCGGCUCUUCUUCCAGCGAGAAAAUGGAUUCAAGGUUGUCCUCUUCGUCGAAAUAGAUUCCUGUAUGAUCAACUAUUUCAUCAAAGAGGUGGACAACAUCUCUUGAUGUUUUGAGUUGAGGACAGUUUCUUGCAAUGUAACUAGGAUUAUUACAGAUGAAGCGGCUAUCAUUCUUCUUCUGGUAGUACGCUUGGCUUCUUCGUCUGAAAUUCCUGGUCUGCCUUACUGCCUUAGGAUCAUUUUCUAGAGGUCAUGGUAAUUUGAAUCUCCUGAACAACAACUUUUGUUGGGAUCCUGUCUGGCGACUUGAACAGGGGAAAUCGGACUUUAUAACAAGAUUGUUCCUGCCGAAAUAAGGAUAAAAAAUCGGAUAGUUUCCGAUAAUCUGCUUUAUGAUAGAUCUCUUCUUGCAUAGACUAUUCAAGGCCUGGAAGAUGGCCUACCUGGUGUAGCUCAUGUCUUUGCAGAAGGCUUCAAGUAGGAUUUUGGUAUUGGAAGCAAAGUCUUCGAAUGUAACAUAAUUAUUUUUAUCCGCUCCCAAGUGUAUUCCUCUAGCAUGUGAGGAUUUUGGAGAAUCCGAAGGUGCUAUCUUAUAGUAUCACACAUCAUCCUCUUUCAUCCAGAUUCUUCAUCAUCAUGAAAGUUCUGAGGUCCUGAGGAAGGGAUAGAGUUGCAGCAAUGGUUUCCUACGGCUCUAUUGAUGUUUCGACUUUUGAGGAAACAUUUUUGGACUUUCUCUUAGGAUAAUUGUGUGUUUUCAAGCAUCUAUUGUUGUAUUGAUCAUUGCGUUUUAGUGUUUUCAGGACAAGGAUAAAACGCGAAGAAUAACUAGGAAAAACUGGCAAAGCAACAGAAAAAUAACAAGCAACGGUCUAGGUGAUGGACCAUCGACCCUGUGAUGAAACAUCGGCCUAAACAAUCGCCAAUAAAUAGAAUGUUGUGCCACUGGAAGUCCCACAAUGGUCACAGAAAUGGACCAUCGCCACUGUGAUGAACCGUUGGCCUAGACCGUCUCCAAGAAAUAGAAUGUUAUGCCACUAGAAGUCUUGCGGUGGUCCAGGCGACGGACCAUCUCCUCUGUAAUGAACUGUCGCCCGUUCCGUCUAGUAUGAAGCAGUAAUUCCGAGUUUGAAUUUUAAAAUCCCAGUCCUAGAAUCAUAUAAAUACUAAGUAUUAGGUUUUAUUUUGUCAUUUUUGACAGUAGUAUCAUAUUUUUCACCUCUAUUGACAACAUUAUAACACUAUUCUUUGAGAUUGGAAGCUAGAACUUGGGAUCUGACUACUAUUCAUAUAUUUUUUCAUUGAAGAUUGAGAUAACAAUAUUGUGAUUGUUGUAAGUACUCCUUUAAAAUUAUUGAUGAAUAUUAAUAUGUUGUUGAUAUCUUACAUGGA
Molecule: long non-coding RNA, 4122 nt
Organism: Capsicum annuum
Lineage: Eukaryota; Viridiplantae; Streptophyta; Magnoliopsida; Solanales; Solanaceae
Exons: 2
Source: RefSeq, a predicted model, not a curated record